AUGGAGCGCCCGCCCCCUCCUACAGGUACUGCGCAUGUGCAAGUGGCGCGCCGUGGGCCUGGCGCAGGCGCAGGCGCAGACGUGGCUCCUUCACAUAAAUUUUUCCUUGGGCUGGUUUCCUGCAUGUCUUCUAAGUAUUUGCUUUUAGUUUCCGUGUUUUGGUGUUUUGUUUGUUCGUUUUUUUUUGUUUUGUUUUUACGACAAUGCCUUCUAGGGGAACAGUGUCGCUGGGCUGGGCGGUGGAGAGACACCUUUGGCACCAUCGUGCGAUCUCAUGCACCCUACCAGUGGAAAAUCCAUUUGGGAUUGCCCAGUGCACACAGUAGACAUGGAAAUUGAUGAUCAGCAUCCCCAGAAAGAUGAAGCAUUGGAAAGCACUGCAUAGCUCCAUGUUAUCAAUCAAUUAAUGUCUUCAGUCCUUUAAUGUCCUCUGGACAGCUGGGAUGCUUGGGAGAAGACUGUUGACAAGUCUUGUACGUGUGGAAGACACCAUUUUACUUACUUUCCCUUUAUCAUGGAAGGAACACAAGCCUAUCUUACAAAAAGAUACAUAGGACCCCGGAAGAACGAUUUUUAUUCUGAAUCUCAAUAAAAUAUUCUGUCACAUUGCUUUGUAUCAGUAACUAACUCUUAGAGCAAACGUUCUCUUUUUAAGUUUUGGUAUGUUUCUAAAUAAGUCAUGAAUCCAUUCACACACACACACCCACACACACACACAUGCACACACUUCAACUCUGCAUCUAUAGACCUCUCCGUUGCAGUUGAGAUGUGGUGUUGCUGCUGAUGGGGUUGGACAAAGGAUCCUUUCAGGCAAUGCCUAGUGCUAUUUCGUAUAACAUGGGAGUGAAAUCCCUCCACUCUGAUUUUCCUGCCGAGUAUUUUGGUACAUUGUCUCUCUUACUUCCUCAGAGUCGGGAGUGACAAGCUACAGCCUCAGGCUGGAGUGGCUGAGGCUCUAACACAUAGACAGGAGAGCAUUUAGGAGUAGCACAGAGUAUCUUCACUCUGAAGGAAGAGUAAAUGAAAAAUCCCAAGCUGCUCCCAGUUGGUUCUUCUUAGGUCAUUCCUGGAAACAAACUUUGAUAGCCCAAACUCCCACUUCAUGAGUCUUCUUGCUUUUCCUCCUACAAUGAUGAUUCUCACCUACAAUUCUCACCCUGAACGAAAACACGCUUGCACUUGCAGAUGUUGGUAAGGACAAUUCCAAAGGAGAGCUUUACCACGAGAUUUAACUUCUUUGGAGAGUCUUAAAAAUAAGUUUUCAACUAGUUGUUCAUUUAAAAUGCUACUUAAUUUGUAGAACAAGUGAACCUUUCAAAUUACCUUACAGUUUAUAAAGGACUUACAGAUAUAUUAUAUAUUUAGUAGAAGAAAAUAGAGGUGUUCCACCUAUGGGAAGUGGGCUGUGGGCCACUUAGUCAGAUCCCUACUGAGUGUGCAGUAUUAAUGUGCAAUGUGCACAUUUGGGAAGGGAAAUUCAGACAGGCAGUAUAGCAAAGGAAAAUGACGUGGGAAGCACCAGCUCUGAAAGUCCCAGCCUAGCACCGUGGAGUGGGAGGUCCUGCUGCUGGAGCCAUACAGAGCUUGAUUCUAAUCUCAGCUUUGCUCCUCAUAGGGUGGAGGCUUUGAAGCCACAUUUCUUGGAUCCAAAUCAGGCUUUCACUACUUAUUUUGUAAACUUGGGCAGCUUUCUGGUGUUUCUUAUCUUAGGAGUGGAGACAAUAAUACUACCUGAUGCGUAGUAUCGUGAGGACUAAAUGAGAUAUGAUGUACAAUGUUGGGAAGGCGCUGGUGCAUUUUAUGUCUUCAGUAAAUAUUAGCUAUUAUUCUAU
Molecule: long non-coding RNA, 1832 nt
Organism: Pan troglodytes (chimpanzee)
Lineage: Eukaryota; Metazoa; Chordata; Mammalia; Primates; Hominidae
Source: Ensembl